UGGGGAAUAUUGGACAAUGGGCGAAAGCCUGAUCCAGCCAUGCCGCGUGUGUGAAGAAGUUCUUCGGAUUGUAAAGCACUCUUAGUUGGGAGGAAGGGCAGUAAGCGAAUACCUUGCUGUUUUGACGUUACUGACAGAAUAAGCACCGGCUAACUCUGUGCCAGCAGCCGCGGUAAUACAGAGGGUGCAAGCGUUAAUCGGAAUUACUGGGCGUAAAGCGCGCGUAGGUGGUUCGUUAAGUUGAAUGUGAAAGCCCCGGGCUCAACCUGGGAACUGCAUCCAAAACUGGCGAGCUAGAGUAGGGCAGAGGGUGGUGGAAUUUCCUGUGUAGCGGUGAAAAGCGUAGAUAUAGGAAGGAACACCAGUGGCGAAGGCGACCACCUGGGCUCAUACUGACACUGAGGUGCGAAAGCGAAGGGAGCAAACAGG
This 429-nucleotide ribosomal RNA is filed under the name Pseudomonadota bacterium. Its description in RNAcentral is "Proteobacteria bacterium partial 16S ribosomal RNA". It matches the Rfam family "Bacterial small subunit ribosomal RNA", at positions 355 to 776 of the family's 1533-position model. Lineage: Bacteria; Pseudomonadati; Pseudomonadota. The record is from RNAcentral.